CACAUUGGGACUGAGACACGGCCCAAACUCCUACGGGAGGCUGCAGUAGGGAUCUUCCACAAUGGGCGAAAGCCUGAUGGAGCAACGCCGCGUGUGUGAUGAAGGCUUUCGGGUCGUAAAGCACUGUUGUAUGGGAAGAAAAGUUAAGGUAGGGAAUGACCUUAGCCUGACGGUACCAUACCAGAAAGGGACGGCUAAAUACGUGCCAGCAGCCGCGGUAAUACGUAUGUCCCGAGCGUUAUCCGGAUUUAUUGGGCGUAAAGCGAGCGCAGACGGUUGGUUAAGUCUGAUGUGAAAGCCCGGAGCUCAACUCCGGAAAGGCAUUGGAAACUGGUUAACUUGAGUGCAGUAGAGGUAAGUGGAACUCCAUGUGUAGCGGUGGAAUGCGUAGAUAUAUGGAAGAACACCAGCGGCGAAGGCGGCUUACUGGACUGUAACUGACGUUGAGGCUCGAAAGUGUGGGUAGCAAACAGGAUUAGAUACCCUGGUAGUCCACACCGUAAACGAUGAACACUAGGUGUUAGGAGGUUUCCGCCUCUUAGUGCCGAAGCUAACGCAUUAAGUGUUCCGCCUGGGGAGUACGACCGCAAGGUUGAAACUCAAAGGAAUUGACGGGGACCCGCACAAGCGGUGGAGCAUGUGGUUUAAUUCGAAGCAACGCGAAGAACCUUACCAGGUCUUGACAUCCUUUGAAGCUUUUAGAAAUAGAAGUGUUCUCUUCGGAGACAAAGUGACAGGUGGUGCAUGGUCGUCGUCAGCUCGUGUCGUGAGAUGUUGGGUUAAGUCCCGCAACGAGCGCAACCCUUAUUGUUAGUUGCCAGCAUUCAGAUGGGCACUCUAGCGAGACUGCCGGUGACAAACCGGAGGAAGGCGGGGACGACGUCAGAUCAUCAUGCCCCUUAUGACCUGGGCUACACACGUGCUACAAUGGCGUAUACAACGAGUUGCCAACCUGCGAAGGUGAGCUAAUCUCUUAAAGUACGUCUCAGUUCGGACUGCAGUCUGCAACUCGACUGCACGAAGUCGGAAUCGCUAGUAAUCGCGGAUCAGCACGCCGCGGUGAAUACGUUCCCGGGUCUUGUACACACCGCCCGUCACACCAUGGAAGUUUGUAAUGCCCAAAGCCGGUGGCCUAACCGUAAGGAGGGAACC
Molecule: ribosomal RNA, 1152 nt
Filed under: Leuconostoc carnosum
Lineage: Bacteria; Bacillati; Bacillota; Bacilli; Lactobacillales; Lactobacillaceae
Description: bacterial SSU rRNA
Rfam family: Bacterial small subunit ribosomal RNA
Source: RNAcentral